GAAAUGCGAUACGUAGUGUGAAUUGCAGAAUUCCGUGAACCAUCGAAUCUUUGAACGCAAAUUGCGCCCGAGGCCUCGGCCGAGGGCAUGUCUGCCUCAGCGUCGGCGCACCCCCUCGCCCCCUCCCCCCGGGGAGUGGCGGCGGACCUGGCCUUCUCGCGUCGCCCCCCUCGGGGGUCGGCGCGGGUCGGCUGAAGCGUAGAGGCCUGAGCAGCGACCCCGCUUGCAAGGCGACGGCUUGGUAGGUAGGACCCCCUACUCCACUGCCGCCGCCCGAGGGCGUCCUGCUGGGGGCCAGUCGGGCUUCGGCCCACUUUACUCACAUUUCGACCUGAGCUCAGGCAAGGCUACCCGCUGAACUUAA
RNAcentral lists this unclassified non-coding RNA (364 nucleotides) under uncultured fungus. Its description in RNAcentral is "sequence contains ITS1". The stretch from base 1 to 105 matches the Rfam family "5.8S ribosomal RNA", at positions 50 to 154 of the family's 154-position model. The record is from RNAcentral. Lineage: Eukaryota; Fungi.